This 369-nucleotide ribosomal RNA is filed under the name uncultured bacterium. Its description in RNAcentral is "bacterial SSU rRNA". It matches the Rfam family "Bacterial small subunit ribosomal RNA", at positions 28 to 401 of the family's 1533-position model. The record is from RNAcentral.
GACGAACGCUGGCGGCGUGCUUAACACAUGCAAGUCGAACGGUAAGGCCUUUCGGGGUACACGAGUGGCGAACGGGUGAGUAACACGUGGGUGAUCUGCCCUGCACUUCGGGAUAAGCUUGGGAAACUGGGUCUAAUACCGGAUAGGACCACGGUCUGCAUGGAUUGUGGUGGAAAGCUUUUGCGGUGUGGGAUGGGCCCGCGGCCUAUCAGCUUGUUGGUGGGGUGAUGGCCUACCAAGGCGACGACGGGUAGCCGGCCUGAGAGGGUGUCCGGCCACACUGGGACUGAGAUACGGCCCAGACUCCUACGGGAGGCAGCAGUGGGGAAUAUUGCACAAUGGGCGCAAGCCUGAUGCAGCGACGCCGCG